GACGAACGCUGGCGGCGUGCUUAACACAUGCAAGUCGAACGGAAAGGCCCUGCUUUUGUGGGGUGCUCGAGUGGCGAACGGGUGAGUAACACGUGAGUAACCUGCCCUUGACUUUGGGAUAACUUCAGGAAACUGGGGCUAAUAUCGGAUAGGAGCUCCUGCUGCAUGGGGGUGGUUGGAAAGUUUCGGCGGUUGGGGAUGGACUCGCGGCUUAUCAGCUUGUUGGUGGGGUAGUGGCUUACCAAGGCUUUGACGGGUAGCCGGCCUGAGAGGGUGACCGGCCACAUUGGGACUGAGAUACGGCCCAGACUCCUACGGGAGGCAGCAGUGGGGAAUAUUGCACAAUGGGCGGAAGCCUGAUGCAGCAACGCCGCGUGCGGGAUGACGGCCUUCGGGUUGUAAACCGCUUUCGCCUGUGACGAAGCGUGAGUGACGGUAAUGGGUAAAGAAGCACCGGCUAACUACGUG
RNAcentral lists this ribosomal RNA (468 nucleotides) under uncultured bacterium. Its description in RNAcentral is "partial 16S ribosomal RNA". It matches the Rfam family "Bacterial small subunit ribosomal RNA", at positions 28 to 507 of the family's 1533-position model. The record is from RNAcentral.